GAAUGAAGCAAGCAUGGCAAUAUGCACAGAAAUUAAUUUGGGUCUCUAGGCCUAUCCUCUCUAAUGCCUUGGGGCUUUGAUUUGAGGAUAUGGUUCUACAACAAAACG
Small nucleolar RNA from Rhododendron vialii, 108 nucleotides. RefSeq annotates it as small nucleolar RNA snoR100. The transcript has a single exon. The record is from RefSeq and is a predicted model, not a curated record. Lineage: Eukaryota; Viridiplantae; Streptophyta; Magnoliopsida; Ericales; Ericaceae.